UUUGUCGAAUAAAGUUCUAGGUGGGUUAUGAUGAUGACAUUUCCUAUCUAUGUGUCUUGACCAAAUUACGUGCCAGCAGUCGCGGUAAUACGUAGAAGACUAGUGUUAUUCAUCUUUAAUAGGUUUAAAGGGUACCUAGACGGUAAAUCAAGUCCGAAAAGGAUACUAAUUUUCUAGAGUUUAAUGUGAGGGGGCACUAAAGUACUGAUAAGUGUAGAGAUGAAAUUCUGUGAUACAAUAUACGGCACUGGCAAAGGCGAAAGCAUCUCAUUAUGUAAUAACUGACGUUGAGGGACGAAGGCUAUGUGUAGCAAAAAGGAUUAGAUACCCAAGUAGUCUUAGCAGAAAAUUAUGAAUGUCAUAGGAUGGAAAAUUUAAAAAAACAAUUUUUUUUCUAUAAAUGAAAGUGUAAGCAUUUCACCUCGAGAGUAAUUUGGCAACAUUGGAACUGAAAUCAUUAGACCGUUUCUGAAACAAGUAGUGAAGUAUGUUGUUUAAUUUGAUGCUCCGCAAAAAACCUUACCACAAUUUGAAUAGAAAUUUUAUUUUAUACAAGCGCUGCACGGUUGUCUUCAGUUAAUGUCGUGAGAUCUUGGUUAGUUCCAUUAAAUUAACGUAACCCUUAUUUUAUUUUUAUAUAAAGUAGU
RNAcentral lists this ribosomal RNA (647 nucleotides) under Rinodina milvina. RNAcentral's name for it is "SSU rRNA". It matches the Rfam family "Bacterial small subunit ribosomal RNA", at positions 417 to 1129 of the family's 1533-position model. Lineage: Eukaryota; Fungi; Ascomycota; Lecanoromycetes; Caliciales; Physciaceae. The record is from RNAcentral.